RNAcentral lists this transfer RNA (71 nucleotides) under Vermiophis taishanensis. RNAcentral's name for it is "tRNA-Val". It matches the Rfam family "tRNA". From Rfam's summary of the family: Transfer RNA (tRNA) molecules are approximately 80 nucleotides in length. The record is from RNAcentral. Lineage: Eukaryota; Metazoa; Arthropoda; Insecta; Diptera; Vermileonidae.
CAAUUUAAAGCUUAAAAGUAAAGUAUUUCAUUUACAUUGAAGAGAUGUCUGUGCAAUUCGGAUUAAAUUGA